This 335-nucleotide unclassified non-coding RNA is filed under the name Basidiomycota sp. RNAcentral describes it as "partial contains small subunit ribosomal RNA, internal transcribed spacer 1, and 5.8S ribosomal RNA". The stretch from base 1 to 47 matches the Rfam family "Eukaryotic small subunit ribosomal RNA", at positions 1785 to 1831 of the family's 1831-position model. The record is from RNAcentral. Lineage: Eukaryota; Fungi; Basidiomycota.
AAAGUCGUAACAAGGUUUCCGUAGGUGAACCUGCGGAAGGAUCAUUACAAGAUUUGGAUGUGUGGGUGUGUUUGGGUGUUGUUUGGCUGGGUGGUGGAUUGUGUGGGUGUGGGUGUGCGCAGAUGGCUGGAUGUGAUCAGACGAAAUCAUUCACCAAUGCAGCAUAUCGAGCAUAUCACGCCAUCAACACUUUGCCACACAACAACAAACAGCACAACAUCAGCAGCUGCUCAGGCCUCGCAGCCUGGGUGUGCAUGUUUGCGCUUGCUUGUUUGACAAUAAUAUCAGUAAUCAGCCAAAUAAUACAACUUUUAACAACGGAUCUCUUGGCUCUU